CUAUAAAAGGUUACACCCAACUCCCCUGCUCUACUUGACAUUGAAGUUGAUGAUUGCCUGAAAGACUGCAUAGCCUGGAUCCUGUGUUAAAACCUGUGGACGUACCUUAUUGGCUUCAAAACCUGCUUUACUCACUAACCUGCUCCAUACCAGCCUGAACACCUCUACAUUCCUGCUUGACUUCCAACUGGCUUAAUUCUAUACUGGGCUUUAAUGUGUUAUUACUUUGUGGCUACCUGCGUUACUCCUACAUUCCAGAUAAUAUUGGCAUCUACGAUAAAAGACCUGUUACUACAGUACAACCUCUAAUCCACAGAGACUGAACAGCUACAAACCAAUAUAAGUAACCUUUUAUAUUUCUGUUUAGUUAUGUUUUCCUGUAACUUAUUAUCUCCUUAAUAGGCUUUAAUUCUCUUGCUUUAUUUUUCACAGGUUUACCUGUUUCUUUAUAUCCUGUUCUGGGGCAUAUUGCCUAAGUCCUCUUUUCUGUUUCCCUCCAGUUUGUACCUGUAAUUUCUCUAAUCUUCAAUCUCCUACCAAUAACUUCAUUUAUAGGUUUACCUUUUUAACACUUUUGGGCUUAUUGUCUAAACCCUUUAUUUCAUAGCCUAGUUACUAGUUACAGAUAUUCGGUUCUGUCUCCUAUCUCUCUCUCUUUCCUAUAACUUCAGUUAUAGGAUUUCUUGUUAAUACUAUAAUAUCUAAGAUCUCAAAGACCUUGACGUUAACCCCAGUUUCAGUCUCAUCCCUGACCUGCACAAGAUCAUGACACUCGGGAGACUUCGCUGAACACAAAUAUUUGUUUCAAAACAGUAAAACUUAUUACAACAAUGGUACCAUCAGUAAAAAUGCUGUUUUGUGUGUGAAAAAUGCAAAACACUUCACUUUCACUGACCAUAUCAUUGCUGUGAUGUUUUGAAACCCUAUUAUUUGUGUUUAGCGAAAUCCCCUGGAGUAUAGGGUUUGGGGUGUCUUGGAAAGUUACAGGGUUAAAUACAGUGCUAGCAAAUUACAUUAUCUGGACUUUUGGCCUGGGUUGUCAGGGAGGUCCCUCAAAUUGCAAUCAAUAAACGAAUUAUGUAAAACUAUUACAUAAACAAGCACUUAGAAUUUAAAUAUAUAUACAUAUUUAUUAAGAUAUCUUGUAUAUCUGACGUCUACGUUUAAAUUUAUGAAAUUAUUCAUGUAAUUAUGUAUCUAGGUGUAUUUUGAUAUAAUUAUAUUAUUUUUUUUAUACAUAUAUAUAUAUAUACGUGUGUAAUUUUACUCAGUAUUUUUUAGCCUCAACUUUUUUUUUUUUUUUUUUUAUUGAAAUUAUUGUUUAAAGUUGACAAACAUUUAACAAGCAUGUUAAGCACGAUAAAUAUGACAAUAUAUAACAAGACAAUUUGCUUACUUUAAAAUAAGGUAUAUUACAUAGUUAGGCAAGAUUUAAAUUAAUUUAUCAUUAUAGUAAUUAUAAAGUUUAUGACCUUAAACUGUGUCUUUUAUCUUUCGGAUCCACUGUACAUAAUGAUGUAUGUGUUCAAAGGACCACUCUAGGCACCCAGACCACUUCAGUUUAAUGAAGUGGUCUGGGUGCCAGGUCCAGCUAGGGUAACCCAUUUUUUCAUAAACAUAAUCGUUUCAGAGAAACUGCUAUGUUUAUGAAUGGGUUAAGCCUUCCCCCUAUUUCCUCUAGUGGCUGUCUCAUUGACAGCCACUAGAGGCGCUUGCGUGCUUCUCACUGUGAUUUUUCACAGUGAGAGCACGCCAGCGUCCAUAGGAAAGCGUUAUGAAUGCUUUCCUAUGUGACCAGCUGAAUGAGCGCGCAGCUCUUGCCGCGCGUGCGCAUUCAGCCAACGGAGAGGAGGCAGAGAGCUCCCCGCCCAGCGAUGGAAAAAGGUACGUUUUUAACCCCUUUCUCCCUUCCAGAGCCGGGCGGGAGGGGGACCCUGAGGGUGGGGGCACCCUCAGGGCGCUAUAGUGCCAGGAAAACAAAUGUUUUCCUGGCACUAUAGUGGUCCUUUAAGAUUGUUAUUAGAAUAAGCGACCCCUCUCUCCAUUUCUAACUAAUAUAUAAGUUGUUUUAUUAAAUAAUAAAAUAUCUGGAGUUGAUGUCUGUUUUCACACUCUUGCUAUUUACAUUUUUUUUUUUUUUCCCCCCAUUUCUGCAAAACUAGUAAAGUCAGAAUUUGUAGCAUUUUUGGUAAAUUGUUCCAAUUGAUAUGAAGCAAGCCAUUUUCUGGGGAUUUCUUUAAUUUUAUAUUAAAGAGAGACAAAAUAUGAUCUAUUGAAUCCCAGAAUGUUAUUAUUUUUGGGCAAUUCCACCAGAUACAAAGCAUAGUUCCUUCGUGGGCUAGACAUCUAGGUUUUUACGAUUUCCUUCAUUCUUAAUAAGAGAAUAUUUAAGGAACCCUCUCACUCUCAGAUAGUUAAAGAUUUCUUUAUCAGAUAUAUUUAAUUUUGUUUUCAAAUCUUGGAAAGAGAAUAAUUUAGCAUCUUGUAUAAGAUCUUCUUCUAUAUAAAUUUCUUUAGGGACCCUCCAGGUACUGAGAUUUAAGUCAGGGAUGAUUAUUUUUUUUUUUUUUUGCCAUUCUUCCAUAAGAUGAAGUACAGUAAAUUAAUUUUGUUGCAAGGAGUCUUUAAAGUUAGUAACCUCAUCCCAAAUAAGAAGGGAAAAAUCCUUUUCAUUAGUUCUAAAAGACUCAAUUCUAUACCAGGCUUGCUUUCUGGCCUCUUGAAUAUUAAAUUUAUGAAUAUGAAUGAUUAUGUUUGCUUUAUAUAUUUCUCUGAUUAAUGGGAGAGCCAUACCUCCUUUGUUGACUUUUUUUUUUUCUUAAAUUUGCGAUUUAAUUCUUUUCCAGAUGUAGUUGGAGAAAGAAUGAUGGAGCAUAUCCAGCCAUGGUUUAGGGAAUUUUAAUGGGAUCAUGUUAAAUAAAUAUGCCCAUUUGGGCAAUAAAAUUUAAUUUAACAAAAAAAAUACUUAGUAUGAUGUUUUAUAUUUAUAGAUAUA
Molecule: non-coding RNA, 2995 nt
Organism: Pelobates cultripes (western spadefoot toad)
Lineage: Eukaryota; Metazoa; Chordata; Amphibia; Anura; Pelobatidae
Source: the annotation of a GenBank genome assembly